RNAcentral lists this ribosomal RNA (431 nucleotides) under uncultured Pelagibacterales bacterium. Its description in RNAcentral is "bacterial SSU rRNA". It matches the Rfam family "Bacterial small subunit ribosomal RNA", at positions 387 to 835 of the family's 1533-position model. Lineage: Bacteria; Pseudomonadati; Pseudomonadota; Alphaproteobacteria; Candidatus Pelagibacterales. The record is from RNAcentral.
UGCAGCGAUGCCGCGUGAGUGAAGAAGGCCUUUGGGUUGUAAAGCUCUUUCGUCGGGGAAGAAAAUGACUGUACCCGAAUAAGAAGGUCCGGCUAACUUCGUGCCAGCAGCCGCGGUAAUACGAAGGGACCUAGCGUAGUUCGGAAUUACUGGGCUUAAAGAGCUCGUAGGUGGUUAAAAAAGUUGGUGGUGAAAUCCCAGAGCUUAACCCUGGAACUGCCAUCAAAACUUUUUAACUAGAGUAUGAUAGAGGAAAGUAGAAUUUCUAGUGUAGAGGUGAAAUUCGUAGAUAUUAGAAAGAAUACCAAUUGCGAAGGCAACUUUCUGGAUCAUUACUGACACUGAGGAGCGAAAGCAUGGGUAGCGAAGAGGAUUAGAUACCCUCGUAGUCCAUGCCGUAAACGAUGUGUGCUAGACGUUGGAAAUUUAUU